Apaloderma vittatum (bar-tailed trogon) is the source of this 72-nucleotide transfer RNA. It matches the Rfam family "tRNA". Rfam says of the family: Transfer RNA (tRNA) molecules are approximately 80 nucleotides in length. Their secondary structure includes four short double-helical elements and three loops (D, anti-codon, and T loops). Further hydrogen bonds mediate the characteristic L-shaped molecular structure. tRNAs have two regions of fundamental functional importance: the anti-codon, which is responsible for specific mRNA codon recognition, and the 3' end, to which the tRNAs corresponding amino acid is attached (by aminoacyl-tRNA synthetases). tRNAs cope with the degeneracy of the genetic code in two manners: having more than one tRNA (with a specific anti-codon) for a particular amino acid; and 'wobble' base-pairing, i.e. permitting non-standard base-pairing at the 3rd anti-codon position. Lineage: Eukaryota; Metazoa; Chordata; Aves; Trogoniformes; Trogonidae. The record is from Rfam.
GGCCGGUUAGCUCAAUCAGUAGAACGUAGCGCUAACAACGCUAAGGUCGCGGGUUCAAUUCCCGUUCGGUCC